RNAcentral lists this ribosomal RNA (79 nucleotides) under Azospirillum doebereinerae. RNAcentral's name for it is "partial 23S ribosomal RNA". The record is from RNAcentral. Lineage: Bacteria; Pseudomonadati; Pseudomonadota; Alphaproteobacteria; Rhodospirillales; Azospirillaceae.
GAGAGAUCAAGCGUCUGAAGGGCAUCUGGUGGAUGCCUUGGCACUGAGAGGCGAUGAAGGACGUAGCACGCUGCGAUAA